Molecule: long non-coding RNA, 200 nt
Filed under: Elaeis guineensis (African oil palm)
Lineage: Eukaryota; Viridiplantae; Streptophyta; Magnoliopsida; Arecales; Arecaceae
Description: long non-coding RNA (EGUI_LNC005708)
Source: RNAcentral
AUAUGCUCCGGGAUUUGCCUUGGUUCACUUGCAUCUGGUUCAUGCAAUAAUUUCUCCACCUUUCCCCCCUUUUCUCACUCCCAAUGAAAAGCUUGAAGUUCCUAUAUACAAUCAUUUGUUUGGCAUCGAUGGCUUUGAGUCGUGAUUCAUUUCUCGUGAACCCCAACCGAUAGAUUUUCGGUUCUUUCAAGCCAUAAUCA